UGGGGAAUUUUGGACAAUGGGCGAAAGCCUGAUCCAGCAAUGCCGCGUGUGUGAAGAAGGCCUUCGGGUUGUAAAGCACUUUUGUCCGGAAAGAAAUCCUUGGCUCUAAUACAGUCGGGGGAUGACGGUACCGGAAGAAUAAGCACCGGCUAACUACGUGCCAGCAGCCGCGGUAAUACGUAGGGUGCAAGCGUUAAUCGGAAUUACUGGGCGUAAAGCGUGCGCAGGCGGUUUGCUAAGGCCGAUGUGAAAUCCCCGGGCUCAACCUGGGAACUGCAUUGGUGACUGGCAGGCUAGAGGUAUGGCAGAGGGGGGUAGAAUUCCACGUGUAGCAGUGAAAUGCGUAGAGAUGUGGAGGAAUACCGAUGGCGAAGGCAGCCCCCUGGGCCAAUACUGACGCUCAUGCACGAAAGCGUGGGGAGCAAACAGGAUUAGAUACCCUGGUAGUCCACGCCCUAAACGAUGUCAACUAGUUGUUGGGGAUUCAUUUCCUUAGUAACGUAGCUAACGCGUGAAGUUGACCGCCUGGGGAGUACGGUCGCAAGAUUAAAACUCAAAGGAAUUGACGGGGUCAUAGCUGUUUCCU
Molecule: ribosomal RNA, 586 nt
Filed under: uncultured bacterium
Lineage: Bacteria
Description: partial 16S ribosomal RNA
Rfam family: Bacterial small subunit ribosomal RNA
Source: RNAcentral